Molecule: ribosomal RNA, 375 nt
Filed under: uncultured eukaryote
Lineage: Eukaryota
Description: SSU rRNA
Rfam family: Eukaryotic small subunit ribosomal RNA
Source: RNAcentral
AGCUCCAAUAGCGUAUAUUAAAGUUGUUGCAGUUAAAAAGCUCGUAGUUGGAUUUCUGGCAGGGGGUGAGAGCCCGCACGCAGCGUGUGCUCGCCUCCCCCUACCAUCCUUCUGUUAAACCGUCGGGUCUUCACCGGCUCGGCGGCGGCUCAGAUAAUUUACCUUGAGAAAAUUAGAGUGUUUCAGGCAGGCCGACGCCGGGAUACAUUAGCAUGGAAUAAUGGAAUAGGACUGUCGCCUCUUCUGUUGGUCUGAGGGGUGGCCGUAAUGAUUAAUAGGGAUAGUUGGGGGCAUUAGUACUUAACUGUCAGAGGUGAAAUUCUCGGAUUUGUUAAAGACUAACUUAUGCGAAAGCAUUUGCCAAGGAUGUUUUCA